RNAcentral lists this ribosomal RNA (515 nucleotides) under uncultured bacterium. RNAcentral describes it as "partial 16S ribosomal RNA". It matches the Rfam family "Bacterial small subunit ribosomal RNA", at positions 28 to 523 of the family's 1533-position model. The record is from RNAcentral.
GAUGAACGCUGGCGGCGUGCCUAAUACAUGCAAGUCGAGCGAAUGGAUUAAGAGCUUGCUCUUAUGAAGUUAGCGGCGGACGGGUGAGUAACACGUGGGUAACCUGCCCAUAAGACUGGGAUAACUCCGGGAAACCGGGGCUAAUACCGGAUAAUAUUUUGAACUGCAUGGUUCAAAAUUGAAAGGCGGCUUCGGCUGUCACUUAUGGAUGGACCCGCGUCGCAUUAGCUAGUUGGUGAGGUAACGGCUCACCAAGGCAACGAUGCGUAGCCGGCCUGAAAGGGGGAUCGGCCACACUGGGACGGAGAAACGGCCCAGACUCCUACGGGAGGCAGCAGUAGGGAAUCUUCCGCAAUGGACGAAAGUCUGACGGAGCAACGCCGCGUGAGUGAUGAAGGCUUUCGGGUCGUAAAACUCUGUUGUUAGGGAAGAACAAGUGCUAGUUGAAUAAGCUGGCACCUUGACGGUACCUAACCAGAAAGCCACGGCUAACUACGUGCCAGCCGCCGCCGUAA